AUACUUACCUGGCAGGGGAGAUAGCAUGAUCAUGAAGGUGGUUUUCCCAGGGUAAGGCUCAUCCAUUGCACUCUGGAUGUGCUGACCCCUGCGAUUUCCCCAAGUGUGAGAAACAACUGCAUAAUUUGUGGUAGUGGGGGAACUGUGUUUGAGCUUUCCCAUA
This is a small nuclear RNA of Camelus dromedarius (Arabian camel), 163 nucleotides long. Its record names the gene U1. It matches the Rfam family "U1 spliceosomal RNA". From Rfam's summary of the family: U1 is a small nuclear RNA (snRNA) component of the spliceosome (involved in pre-mRNA splicing). Its 5' end forms complementary base pairs with the 5' splice junction, thus defining the 5' donor site of an intron. There are significant differences in sequence and secondary structure between metazoan and yeast U1 snRNAs, the latter being much longer (568 nucleotides as compared to 164 nucleotides in human). The record is from Ensembl. NCBI's taxonomy places the organism in Eukaryota, Metazoa, Chordata, Mammalia, Artiodactyla, Camelidae.